GGCUGCUUGGCGACUUCUACAAAGCUCACUAACGCUUCAUUUCUCGUUCUAUCCGCCUCUUGCUCUCUAAAAGCAAAGCUCCACCCUUUUAUCUAUACUUCGCAUUUCAACUCCCCAAACUCUGUCUUCCUUGUUCUUUCUCAGCGACGUGGUCACCGUUCCUUGCAUUUCCCGGUAACCAUGUCACAGUCUCUCCAUUUCUCCACUCCAACAACUCGCCCCCCAACCCUCACUU
RNAcentral lists this unclassified non-coding RNA (235 nucleotides) under Hevea brasiliensis (rubber tree). The record is from RNAcentral. Lineage: Eukaryota; Viridiplantae; Streptophyta; Magnoliopsida; Malpighiales; Euphorbiaceae.